AUAGCAUUGCUGAUAAUUCUUUUCCAUUUUUGAGAGGUAGUGGCAUACUUGUUUAUCCUUAUCCAAGUUGGAUCCCUUCUCAUGAUGAUGCAAAGUUCUCAUACUUGUGGGUGACUAGUUGAGUAUUCUCCUUAAAAUGACAAAAUGUCUUUUCCAUUAAAAAAAUGAAUCAAAACAAACUCCAUUGCACUUUGUUGGUACGUAGGCAUGAGACUUCGAAAGUCUUGGCAAACAUAAAAAAAAGAAAAAU
RNAcentral lists this long non-coding RNA (250 nucleotides) under Lathyrus oleraceus (garden pea). Its description in RNAcentral is "Pisum sativum (pea) long non-coding RNA (PSAT_LNC017320)". The record is from RNAcentral. Lineage: Eukaryota; Viridiplantae; Streptophyta; Magnoliopsida; Fabales; Fabaceae.